RNAcentral lists this ribosomal RNA (253 nucleotides) under uncultured bacterium. Its description in RNAcentral is "partial 16S ribosomal RNA". It matches the Rfam family "Bacterial small subunit ribosomal RNA", at positions 524 to 776 of the family's 1533-position model. The record is from RNAcentral.
UACAGAGGGGGCAAGCGUUGUUCGGAAUUACUGGGCGUAAAGGGCGCGUAGGCGGCCUGUUAAGUCGAACGUGAAAUCCCCGGGCUCAACCCGGGAACUGCGUCCGAUACUGGCAGGCUUGAAUCCGGGAGAGGGAUGCGGAAUUCCAGGUGUAGCGGUGAAAUGCGUAGAUAUCUGGAGGAACACCGGUGGCGAAGGCGGCAUCCUGGACCGGCAUUGACGCUGAGGCGCGAAAGCCAGGGGAGCAAACGGG